AGUGAACGCUGGCGGUAGGCCUAACACAUGCGAGUCGAACGGCAGCACAGUAAGAGCUUGCUCUUACGGGUGGCGAGUGGCGGACGGGUGAGGAAUACAUCGGAAUCUACUUUUUCGUGGGGGAUAACGUAGGGAAACUUACGCUAAUACCGCAUACGACCUACGGGUGAAAGCAGGGGAUCUUCGGACCUUGCGCGAUUGAAUGAGCCGAUGUCGGAUUAGCUAGUUGGCGGGGUAAAGGCCCACCAAGGCGACGAUCCGUAGCUGGACUGAGAGGAUGAUCAGCCACACUGGAACUGAGACACGGUCCAGACUCCUACGGGAGGCAGCAGUGGGGAAUAUUGGACAAUGGGCGCAAGCCUGAUCCAGCCAUACCGCGUGGGUGAAGAAGGCCUUCGGGUUGUAAAGCCCUUUUGUUGGGAAAGAAAAGCAGCAGGUUAAUACCCCGCUGUUCUGACGGUACCCAAAGAAUAAGCACCGGCUAACUUCGUG
RNAcentral lists this ribosomal RNA (492 nucleotides) under uncultured bacterium. RNAcentral's name for it is "partial 16S ribosomal RNA". It matches the Rfam family "Bacterial small subunit ribosomal RNA", at positions 29 to 507 of the family's 1533-position model. The record is from RNAcentral.